AGCUCUAGCCCACACCCCCCCNAAGUAUAGGAGAUAGAAAUUNAAUAUCAGUGGCGCUAUAGAGAUAGUACCGUAAGGGAAAGAUGAAAGAAAAUCUAAAAGUAAUAAAAAGCAAAGCUUACCCCUUGUACCUUUUGCAUAAUGACUUAACUAGUAAUAACUUAGCAAAGAGACCUUAAGUUAAAUUACCCGAAACCAGACGAGCUACUUAUGAGCAGUACCUAGAACGAACUCAUCUAUGUGGCAAAAUAGUGAGAAGACUUAUGAGUAGAGGUGAAAAGCCUAACGAGCCUGGUGAUAGCUGGUUGUCCAUGAAAAGAAUCUCAGUUCAACGUUAAAUAAUACUAAUAAGCCCAUGCCAAGCCUUAACGUAUAUUUAACCGUUAAUCUAAAAAGGUACAGCUUUUUAGAAAUGGGUACAACCUUAACUAGAGAGUAAAAUAAAACAUAAACCAUAGUUGGCCUAAAAGCAGCCAUCAAUUAAGAAAGCGUUCAAGCUCGACAACAAAACAAUGUUUUAAUUCCAAUAUUAAAUAAAUCAACUCCUAGCCUGACUAUUGGACCAAUCUAUAUAAACAUAGAAGCAACACUGUUAAUAUGAGUAACAAGAAAUUUUUCUCCUAGCACAAGCUUAUAUCAGCAACUGAUAGUAUACUGAUAAUUAACAGCAAAUAAAUAAAACCCAACACUAAAUUAUUUAUUAAGACACUGUUAACCCAACACAGGCGUGCAUUAAGGAAAGAUUAAAAAAAGUAAAAGGAACUCGGCAAA
RNAcentral lists this ribosomal RNA (771 nucleotides) under Megaptera novaeangliae (humpback whale). RNAcentral describes it as "partial 16S ribosomal RNA". The stretch from base 115 to 597 matches the Rfam family "Bacterial large subunit ribosomal RNA", at positions 573 to 1301 of the family's 2925-position model. Lineage: Eukaryota; Metazoa; Chordata; Mammalia; Artiodactyla; Balaenopteridae. The record is from RNAcentral.